GCCCUGUUCGUCUAGCGGCCUAGGACGUAGCCCUCUCAAGGCUAAAACACGGGUUCGAGUCCCGUACGGGGCA
This 73-nucleotide transfer RNA is filed under the name Chloroflexota bacterium. RNAcentral describes it as "Chloroflexi bacterium tRNA-Glu". It matches the Rfam family "tRNA". From Rfam's summary of the family: Transfer RNA (tRNA) molecules are approximately 80 nucleotides in length. Their secondary structure includes four short double-helical elements and three loops (D, anti-codon, and T loops). RNAcentral also lists the same sequence under 1 other name. The record is from RNAcentral. Lineage: Bacteria; Bacillati; Chloroflexota.